AUAGAACCAUUGUUGCGGUUAAAAAGCUCGUAGUUGAAUCUAGGCCUGAGGCCUGGUCCACUCCUUGAGUGCGUACUAGGUUCUUUGGCUUUGGCGUCGGUUUUCUUGUCGUGGCCUUUAUUGGUGGCGGCAAGUGGCUGACAAUUUUACUUUGAACAAAUCAGAGUGCUCAAAACAGGCGUUUCGCUUGUAUGCUUUUGCAUGGAAUAAUAGAAUAUGACUUCGGUUUAGUUUUAUUGGUUUUAUAGAUCGUUGUAAUGAUUAAAAGAGACAAACGGGGGCAUUCGUAUUGUUGCGUGAGAGGUGAAAUUCUUGGACCGCAGCAAGACGACCGACAG
This 338-nucleotide ribosomal RNA is filed under the name Rubzovinema sp. EIK-2013. RNAcentral's name for it is "SSU rRNA". It matches the Rfam family "Eukaryotic small subunit ribosomal RNA", at positions 601 to 945 of the family's 1831-position model. The record is from RNAcentral. Lineage: Eukaryota; Metazoa; Nematoda; Chromadorea; Rhabditida; Neotylenchidae.